Acanthaster planci (crown-of-thorns starfish) is the source of this 5012-nucleotide long non-coding RNA. NCBI's taxonomy places the organism in Eukaryota, Metazoa, Echinodermata, Asteroidea, Valvatida, Acanthasteridae. The record is from RefSeq and is a predicted model, not a curated record.
CAGGUGUCAGGACAUUUCAAAUUUUGCUAAUUUCCGAUCUAAUUUUAAGAGCAAAACAGGAAAAGAUCAUUUGAACAUAAACAUUUUAUAGACGUGCGUUCUGGCUACUGCCUGCAGCGUAUUUGUUAGGUUAUCAGUGAUGCCAGUGUAUUCAAUGUACAAUACAAAACCUUUCAUUUUCUACGAGUAUACUCGUAGUGACAGAAUGCACACAUGCAUACCCAUUGUCGACAGUCAACGUGUUAACCCCUUCAGUGAACCUCAAUAACUUCAGAAUUUACUUUUACAAAAAAUGGCUAGCACUAAAUGAUGCACUCAAUCCUAUGUACAUGUACAUGAUUGCCCUUGUUACAAUAAACCUUUUUAUGCCUUGACUGAAUUCGAUGACGGGUAUACCGCCCUCUAGGAAUGUGGGCCGAGACGAAAGUGGGAGAAACUAUUCGUUUGAUUGAACUUAUGUUGAGUUUCUCUACAUAUUUGCCAAGUUUUAGCAAAUUGAGCAUAGGACAGGCGAAUUUGGCUAGAAAAUACUCAAUGAAUCAAUGAAUCACUGCAAUCAGUGCACUUUAUAGUCUUAUUAUGUAAAACAUAUGUUAAUAAAUGAUUAAAGUUUUGGUCUCAAAAUCUCGAAAUUAAAACGAGUAGGUAGGCCCUAAUCCUUGCUUACUCAGGACUUUAUGAAGUAACCAUAAGGGUUUAUGUAAAAUCAUAUCGAAAUCGGAGGAUUGAAGACUGUUGUCAUGGGUAAUGACUACUGAUUAUACACCGUGACCAUUUGAUUUAGCAUCCAGGCCAAAUGAUUCAAAAUGAGAAAAUUUAAGUUGAUGUUCAAUGAUGCUUUUGGUUUAUUAUUAAUGUGUAAAUUGCAAUAAAGUAUAUAUUAGGCUGUAUAGGAGUGUGGCACUGAAUUGUUAAUAUGUUUAUACAUUUAUACAAAAAUAAUGCCUGUCGGUAUCUGUUAGAGUGUUUCAAGUUUUAAAAAUCAGUUGACAGUGGGCCCUGAAUGAGUAAUAAUUUGAACAAUUUUGUUUAAUAAAAUUGUUAGAUUAUCAAAGUUCGUACAAAAAGCAUUUCCUCUAGACAAUGGACAACUAAUGAAGCGUAAAAAAUCAAGAGAACUUCAAAAGGAAUAAUGUAUGAUUUAGUCUACCGAUCACUCCAAUAUUUCUGGGAAACUUAGAAAAUGUUUGCAAUGUGAAAGUAAAGACAUAAAAAACUAAUAAAUUAAUAAACUUGUUUACUUUUUCGCAGAUGUUCUUAUCUGACCAGUGUUAAGGUUCGCUUAAUUGUUGUACUUUUUCACUAGUACUAAAACUCUUUACUUGCAUUUAAGAAAAAUGAGAGAUAAACGGUCAUAAUGUAUUAACCAAUUCACUGAUUAUUUCAAUGAGGAGGAUGAGAUUUUUCUCCCAAAAGGAAAUAUGACCAUUAGUGGUUUUAUCGUUCCUUGAUGUAGAUGUACAUCAAAAAACAUCGAAGGUCCCUGUAAAAAACCCAGUGGUACCCCAUAAGAUAUAUAUCAGACAGGUUGGCCUUAGUUGUUAAAAAAGUACACACUGCUAUCGAUCAUAAAUUCAAAUACUUUUAACCAACUGGGAGCAACUCCAGUAUGCUGAAGUCAUUUAAUUGAUCAAAAAAUGAAUUAUGAUUAAUGGUGUCAAAGGUUUAGAUAAAUCCAAGAACUUGCAUUAUGGUGUAAACGGCAGGUCCGUGAACCAGACAAUGCGACCGGUUUACUCUGUUGGGGUCACAUGCCGUGCAAACAACGUUCCUGUUGAUCACACGGUUUAAUAGUGUUGCUCACUUUGGGAAAACCCGACACUGUCAGGCGCCAUAGAAUAGUACGACUUGUUUGUUUACUUAACAAUCCAGACCCCCCUCCCAAUAUUCUUGUUCGAUUUCAAUUCAUUUUAGUAUUAUUUUUAAACUUAACAUGGCAGUCUUUGUUUUUAAAUGACCUCAUUACUAUUUUUAUUAGUUUUAUUUCGUCGUGAGGUCGUGACUUGGAUGAGGUCUGCUUUGACCAAAUUGUUGGCUGUGAACGCAGCAUUCGCAAUCGUAGCCGUAGGCCUACUGUCAAAGCAAAUACAAUAGUUGCUUUUAGAAAGCACAAAAAGUAACAGCAAAAACAUAACCUUUCACCAAGAGUGAAGAUUGGAAUGGUAGGUUUUUCAUGCGGUGAUUCUUGCCGAAUAAUUCACUUUGAAAGUAUAUAGGUCGCUAACAAGUACGGUUGCGUCGUGUAUGGUGGAAGAGGCGUCAUGGUGCGUCGGCUAUUCAUACACCAUAAUUUCGGGAUUUUAUUAUCGGAUGGUCGACUGUGGUUAAGAGAGAAGCCCAAUGCAUAUAUACGUCAAAGGUAACUUGUUUGGGGAUAUUUACGCUCUAAAUGUAGUUUGUCAUUGUUGAAUAAGGCAUAUUGUGAGCUCAAGGCCUUGACCAAAAAAAAAAAGACUAUUAACGCAUGAGAAAGGAACUUUACAAAUCAGUCAAAACACAAACUGCGAUCAGGAACAUUACAGUAUAGGUUCGUCGCGCCGUCAGCAGCAAGCACGUACGCUCCCACUGCAGUCGGGCCUCUGCACCACCUCUUUCCAGUGGUGCCGAUUGGAGAAGUGCCUCACAAAUUGGGCAGUCGUCUGGAACUGGCAUCAGCGUCGGGGUUAAUCUAUAUGUCCUAUCUAAAGACACUGGAUUAAGACGUCGGAAAUCAUCUCAGUGAAAUUAUGGUCGAGUUGAAUUUCGGAGACGGAGACUCGACAGUGGAAGCUAGUUUUUCGGCGGGGCCAUUCAGCAGCUUUUUGAAAGCCACAGGGCUUUCGGAGAAGCAGGCAACAGCACUUGCUGCCUUUACAAUAAUAAUUAUUGCAAUUAUUGUCAGAGGUCUUUUACGCAGAGCACCGAUGGAACGGCCUGGAGGAAAGAACAAGAAAGGAAAGUAGUUGAAGCACAUCCUGUUAUAGACACAUCACUUCGUUGAUUUGAAGAGGACGAUGGUGUCGUGGUCCCAUAAUACAGGAGAUGUCUACCCAUUUUAGUUAUAUUUUAUUUUAAUUUUUAAGUUGUUGCUGCUCCACAUUUAGAAAUGUGACACAAUUUACACAAUAUCCCUGAGGUACUUCACCGACAGAGGCCAUGACAAUCAUGAUGUUAUUACUCUGGUAAAUGAUUUUAAUCAGCUGAUCAAAUGCUAUUUCCUGUAUUAUGUAUUGCAAUGAUACUGCUUCUGUUAACAAAAAUAACGUGUUUCCGCGGAAACAGAUGGCUUCUCCUCAGUACUGAUACCAGGAGCGAAGUUUCGGUGGCGCACGUUUAGGCCUAUAGCGUAAAAACGAUGAUUUUCAUUGGUCGCAAGGUCAUUACGCCCUGCGUACUAUGAUAUCUUACACAGCCGCGCGAAGUUGACGUUCAACAAUUUCAACGAUACGGACAACUGCAGCACUGCAGGUAGCCUAGGUGAAAAGCGGAUUUGAAAACUCGAUUUCCUCUAAUGCUUGACAAGAAAAACAUAAAUGACCUGUGGAUGGUGAACGAACAAUUUGAGAUAAGAUUUGUAUUCUGUUAGUUUGGGUCGUAUGCAGUUUAACUGAAUAUGAAGGAUGGCAUUUGUUCGAAAUGAGACGUAUCUAGAAUAAUGAUGAAAUCCAUUCGCAGAAUCAAAGGCAGGUGGAGGGGGGAAUGGGGGUCCGUUUCUCUCCCUAAGGAAAGGAAUUAAUUAAGAUGGUCGGUGUGGGGUCUAUUUUAUUUAAACUCCUUCCAAAAGCGUGUAAAAACCCCAGGGUACAGGGUUUAGCCCCACCCCUUAGAAACGGCAUUAAAGGUUACAUUUGCCCCUCCUCAAAAGUUUUGCCUACCCAAAAUUUAGUUCUGGAUCCACCAGAGCACGGCUAGGCAGCUUCAGAAUCAUCGCAAGAUCUUCAGUUAUCAUUAUCUAAUUGGUUAACUUGUUUUGUAAGUUAUUAAACUACUGUAUUUCUUUGAUGGUAAAGUUUCCCAAUAUAAUCAUCUUAUUGAUUUUGGAUCUGAUUCAUCAUCGGUGUAAUCUUGUUCACUUUCUUGGCAUACGAAAACAUUCAACCUUUCUAUUCAGCUGAUUUAAAUUUGGUAACAGUUUAAAGAUUUUUUAUCUUAAUAACGAGAAUGUAAGUAAGAUUUAGACCUUGCAUGGUGGAGGCUAGACUAAGAGAAGGGUUGUGGAUACACCAUGUGAAAACGUCCUCUUCUAUGGUUCUUCACAGGAUCAGGACCACUAAUCUUGUAGAGGAGAUCAAUUUCCCACGUUGUACCCGCCAAACCUAGAGAAUUUAACACUAUAGUGUAUACACAGACGCGGUUCUAGAGUCAUUUUUUAUGGGUGCAGAUUUAUCCUUCACACGUAAAGUUACCUUUUAACUUUCGCUACUGCUCGGACUCUUCAAGGUGUUAAUGAUCGUGGAUAUUUAUUUAAACACUUUAAACAAUUAAAUGCAGAACUCCAGAAUCAGUUUUGUCCUGACCAUUUAUUUUUCAGUUUUGUACUUUUGAGGGGCUAGAAAAAAGUUUGCCCCUAGUAGAACUGCGCCUGGUACUACAUUUUUUUUUCCAAUAACUGUCACAAACUUGAUCUAAGUCAUCACCUCCUACACCGUUUUGCUUCAUUUUGGUAAUAAGAACACAAAAUACCCGUCAGGUGGUAUUCACGUAAAUGAAGCAAAAAGUCACCAACAAAUUGUUCUCAUUAGCCUAUACAACCCCCUUGGGUCAUUUUUAUGAAGAGCUUUUAGCACCUUCUCUGUUUCAUGCUUUACUUUUUGUAACGAGGGAUUAUGGUCUGUCUGCAUCCAAUUAUGUGUCGAGUUUAUUUACUUCAAUUUAUUUUUCAAUAUUCUGCGUUGAAAUUGUCUAUUCACACUAACAUGUCUUACCAGGUACGUAAUUCGUCUUCUCGUACUUUGUCAAAAUCAUUCGAUCAUUGACCAUUUGUAGAAUGAAACAAUAAACUUCGUAAUUUGGAAAUAAAUGUUAAAAUGUAA